Molecule: ribosomal RNA, 2426 nt
Filed under: Escherichia coli
Lineage: Bacteria; Pseudomonadati; Pseudomonadota; Gammaproteobacteria; Enterobacterales; Enterobacteriaceae
Also listed under: 1 other name
Description: partial 23S ribosomal RNA
Rfam family: Bacterial large subunit ribosomal RNA
Source: RNAcentral
GACCAUCCUCCAAGGCUAAAUACUCCUGACUGACCGAUAGUGAACCAGUACCGUGAGGGAAAGGCGAAAAGAACCCCGGCGAGGGGAGUGAAAAAGAACCUGAAACCGUGUACGUACAAGCAGUGGGAGCACGCUUAGGCGUGUGACUGCGUACCUUUUGUAUAAUGGGUCAGCGACUUAUAUUCUGUAGCAAGGUUAACCGAAUAGGGGAGCCGAAGGGAAACCGAGUCUUAACUGGGCGUUAAGUUGCAGGGUAUAGACCCGAAACCCGGUGAUCUAGCCAUGGGCAGGUUGAAGGUUGGGUAACACUAACUGGAGGACCGAACCGACUAAUGUUGAAAAAUUAGCGGAUGACUUGUGGCUGGGGGUGAAAGGCCAAUCAAACCGGGAGAUAGCUGGUUCUCCCCGAAAGCUAUUUAGGUAGCGCCUCGUGAAUUCAUCUCCGGGGGUAGAGCACUGUUUCGGCAAGGGGGUCAUCCCGACUUACCAACCCGAUGCAAACUGCGAAUACCGGAGAAUGUUAUCACGGGAGACACACGGCGGGUGCUAACGUCCGUCGUGAAGAGGGAAACAACCCAGACCGCCAGCUAAGGUCCCAAAGUCAUGGUUAAGUGGGAAACGAUGUGGGAAGGCCCAGACAGCCAGGAUGUUGGCUUAGAAGCAGCCAUCAUUUAAAGAAAGCGUAAUAGCUCACUGGUCGAGUCGGCCUGCGCGGAAGAUGUAACGGGGCUAAACCAUGCACCGAAGCUGCGGCAGCGACGCUUAUGCGUUGUUGGGUAGGGGAGCGUUCUGUAAGCCUGCGAAGGUGUGCUGUGAGGCAUGCUGGAGGUAUCAGAAGUGCGAAUGCUGACAUAAGUAACGAUAAAGCGGGUGAAAAGCCCGCUCGCCGGAAGACCAAGGGUUCCUGUCCAACGUUAAUCGGGGCAGGGUGAGUCGACCCCUAAGGCGAGGCCGAAAGGCGUAGUCGAUGGGAAACAGGUUAAUAUUCCUGUACUUGGUGUUACUGCGAAGGGGGGACGGAGAAGGCUAUGUUGGCCGGGCGACGGUUGUCCCGGUUUAAGCGUGUAGGCUGGUUUUCCAGGCAAAUCCGGAAAAUCAAGGCUGAGGCGUGAUGACGAGGCACUACGGUGCUGAAGCAACAAAUGCCAUGCUUCCAGGAAAAGCCUCUAAGCAUCAGGUAACAUCAAAUCGUACCCCAAACCGACACAGGUGGUCAGGUAGAGAAUACCAAGGCGCUUGAGAGAACUCGGGUGAAGGAACUAGGCAAAAUGGUGCCGUAACUUCGGGAGAAGGCACGCUGAUAUGUAGGUGAAGCGACUUGCUCGUGGAGCUGAAAUCAGUCGAAGAUACCAGCUGGCUGCAACUGUUUAUUAAAAACACAGCACUGUGCAAACACGAAAGUGGACGUAUACGGUGUGACGCCUGCCCGGUGCCGGAAGGUUAAUUGAUGGGGUCAGCGCAAGCGAAGCUCUUGAUCGAAGCCCCGGUAAACGGCGGCCGUAACUAUAACGGUCCUAAGGUAGCGAAAUUCCUUGUCGGGUAAGUUCCGACCUGCACGAAUGGCGUAAUGAUGGCCAGGCUGUCUCCACCCGAGACUCAGUGAAAUUGAACUCGCUGUGAAGAUGCAGUGUACCCGCGGCAAGACGGAAAGACCCCGUGAACCUUUACUAUAGCUUGACACUGAACAUUGAGCCUUGAUGUGUAGGAUAGGUGGGAGGCUUUGAAGUGUGGACGCCAGUCUGCAUGGAGCCGACCUUGAAAUACCACCCUUUAAUGUUUGAUGUUCUAACGUUGACCCGUAAUCCGGGUUGCGGACAGUGUCUGGUGGGUAGUUUGACUGGGGCGGUCUCCUCCUAAAGAGUAACGGAGGAGCACGAAGGUUGGCUAAUCCUGGUCGGACAUCAGGAGGUUAGUGCAAUGGCAUAAGCCAGCUUGACUGCGAGCGUGACGGCGCGAGCAGGUGCGAAAGCAGGUCAUAGUGAUCCGGUGGUUCUGAAUGGAAGGGCCAUCGCUCAACGGAUAAAAGGUACUCCGGGGAUAACAGGCUGAUACCGCCCAAGAGUUCAUAUCGACGGCGGUGUUUGGCACCUCGAUGUCGGCUCAUCACAUCCUGGGGCUGAAGUAGGUCCCAAGGGUAUGGCUGUUCGCCAUUUAAAGUGGUACGCGAGCUGGGUUUAGAACGUCGUGAGACAGUUCGGUCCCUAUCUGCCGUGGGCGCUGGAGAACUGAGGGGGGCUGCUCCUAGUACGAGAGGACCGGAGUGGACGCAUCACUGGUGUUCGGGUUGUCAUGCCAAUGGCACUGCCCGGUAGCUAAAUGCGGAAGAGAUAAGUGCUGAAAGCAUCUAAGCACGAAACUUGCCCCGAGAUGAGUUCUCCCUGACUCCUUGAGAGUCCUGAAGGAACGUUGAAGACGACGACGUUGAU